CCUACGGGUGGCAGCAGUAAGGAAUAUUGGACAAUGGUCGCAAGACUGAUCCAGCCAUGCCGCGUGCAGGAUGACGGCCCUAUGGGUUGUAAACUGCUUUUGUACGAGAAAAAACCUCUUUACGUGUAAAGAGCUGAUUGUAUCGUAAGAAUAAGGAUCGGCUAACUCCGUGCCAGCAGCCGCGGUAAUACGGAGGAUCCAAGCGUUAUCCGGAUUCAUUGGGUUUAAAGGGUGCGUAGGCGGAACGAUAAGUCAGUGGUGAAAUCCUGUAGCUUAACUACAGAACUGCCAUUGAUACUGUCGAUCUUGAGUAUAUUUGAUGUGGGCGGAAUGUGUCAUGUAGCGGUGAAAUGCUUAGAUAUGACACAGAACACCGAUUGCGAAGGCAGCUCACAAAACUAUAACUGACGCUGAGGCACGAAAGCGUGGGGAUCAAACAGGAUUAGAUACCCUAGUAGUC
Molecule: ribosomal RNA, 460 nt
Filed under: uncultured bacterium
Lineage: Bacteria
Description: bacterial SSU rRNA
Rfam family: Bacterial small subunit ribosomal RNA
Source: RNAcentral